GAUGAACGCUAGCGGCAGGCUUAAUACAUGCAAGUCGAGGGGUAACAUGGGUAGCAAUACCUGAUGACGACCGGCAAACGGGUGCGGAACACGUACGCAACUUUCCCAUAACUGGUGAAUAGCCCUCCGAAAGGAGGAUUAAUACACCGUAACAUAACGAAGAGGCAUCUCUUUGUUAUUAUAGGCUUCGGCCGGUUUUGGAUGGGCGUGCGCCUGAUUAGGUAGUUGGCGGGGUAACGGCCCACCAAGCCUACGAUCAGUAACUGGUGUGAGAGCACGACCAGUCACACGGGCACUGAGACACGGGCCCGACUCCUACGGGAGGCAGCAGUAAGGAAUAUUGCUCAAUGGGGGAAACCCUGAAGCAGCAACGCCGCGUGAAGGAUGAAAUACUUUUGUAUGUAAACUUCUGUAAGAUGGGAAAAAUAUCUCGCUCGGUGAGAUUGAUUGUACCAUCAGAGUAAGCCCCGGCUAACUCCGUGCCAGCAGCCGCGAU
Molecule: ribosomal RNA, 496 nt
Filed under: uncultured bacterium
Lineage: Bacteria
Description: bacterial SSU rRNA
Rfam family: Bacterial small subunit ribosomal RNA
Source: RNAcentral